GGCGAUUUCUGGUCUAGGGUGAGAGAUAACAGAAAGUAACAAUGGAGGCUCUCGCAGUGCUCGCAGGCACUCAAGGAACGGAAAGGAAAUUGCACAUUUCACCCGUGACUGCAUAGGCAAACGAGAACAGCAAGUCUCUGCUUUCAGCUGGAAUGUUAUCAACUUCGGUCACGCUGAUUAUCUCAGGCUGAUCAGGAAGGCUGGUACCAGGAGUGAGUGACUAAAUGAAGAAAUUACUAAUUAACAAAUGCUUGGGUGGACAAUCCUUCAAAAUUUAGGAUCAAUGGGAGGAGACAGAAGGAGUCUUGGGAGGAUUUUUAAAAUAUGCCAGAGCUGGCUGGGUACAGUGGCUCACACCUGUAACCUGAGGACUUUGAGGUGGAGACGGGCAGACCACCUGAGCUCAGGAGCUCAAGACCAGCCUGGGCAACAUGGCAAAACCCUGUCUCUACUAACACUAUAAAAAGUUAGCUGGGCGUGUUGGUGCAUGCUGUAGUCCCAGCUACUCAGGAGGCUGAGCCACGAGAAUCGCUUGAACCUGGGAGAUGGAGGUUGAAGUGAGCCAAGAUCGCACCAUUGCACUCCAGCCUGGGGAAAAAAAAAAGCCAGGCCUCCUAAUGUACUCAUUUAAACAUCACUUGUGUCCACCUGGGUUCAGAAUUGCGCUGGACAUGGGAUACACAAAGCGGGAGUGGAAUUUUCAGGAAGCAGCUGUGCUGUGGGUGACGGUCAUACUUUAUUCUCUAAAACUCUCCAGUUUCAAUUGGCCUCUUGGUGCCAAAGCACCAUGGCGUGUUACACCUAUCAGAUCGGGCACACUGCCCCUUCUUCCCAACCUACGAGCUGAAAUGGCCAGCACUGCGCCUUCCAGAACCCAGCGUAGAUGCACAGCUGCCACGGAGGUAGGAAGAAUGAUUCGUUUGCCACCAAAAGCCCAGUUUCUCCAACAGGUGAAUCCCUAGGCCAGCCCGGCCCCUUCCCACACACCCCUACCCCGAGACGGGUGCAGAAUCAGCAGCGGGGAUCAUCCAGAGACUCUCGCAGUCCACGGCAGGUGUCGGAGUGGGCCUCAUUCCAGAGUUGUGGUGGCCGCUCCACCUGGCGAGCUUCGAGGGGACUCCGGCAGGCGCUCGCUGUGGGGUCCUCCCACCAGUCUUCUCAGCACAGGAACGGUGCCUUCACAUUGGUCUUCCGGGGCUUAAAAGCAUAUCAUUCCUGCUUGCUCUUCAGAUGCAAACUCCCCCUCCAAGGAUACCUCCAGGUUCCCUGCCAGCUCACUUGACUCACAUGGCAAUGGUCACCGGGCUGCCUGAGCCCAAAUCAAGCACCGUUUAUUAGGGGGAAGCUCCGUUAUCCAGAAAGCUCAUCUUUGAAGAGCUACCCAUUUCCUGCCAAAGUUGUGGCGGGAAGGCCUUAGGUACUAGAAAACCUUGGGGAAUGGCAAUUAAAGGAUUAUCAUUCUUACUUAUUUGUUUGGAUAAGCAGCAAUCACCCUUCGGAUGCUUAUUGGUGAGAAUAUUUCUAAAAGUGUCCUGCACAUUUCCCUGCUUUGAUGAAUGGAACGGCAGGGCAGGAUUUAACUGUCUGAUGGCUACGGUUUUGGGAAAGUGCCAGAACCUCCACGUCAGCCACCCCAGAGCCACAGGCAGGGUAUGAGCCACAGCAAUGGGCCCCAAGAAAGAGCCCCACACCCACCAUGGUCCACGGAAGACGCUGCUUACUGGCCCCGGGUUACCUGGAGUCAUGUGCAUUCUCCUUACAUCAAGUGAAGAUAAUAUUUUGUUUCCUUCCCACUUUUUCUCUAACACAAGCCACCCCAGUUCUCCCUUCUGACAACAGGCAAGUGGACCCUAGUAGACCUUCCAGAAAAGCCUUAGAGAGCACCCCCAAAUGCUCACAUUUGUCAGCUGUAAUUCCACCCUCAGUUAAAACCUGAUUCUCAAUGUGACUUGGCCAACGCAGCUUGCAAAGCAAGAACGUCUUCAUCUAAGGUUGAAAACAUCAGUUGUUUGGGUUGUGAGAAAAGAAAAGCCCACAAGGUUUCCGAGGCUUGGUGCUGUUUCUCACUGUCCUCAGCUCCUGAUUCUGCAGCUGGUUCUCUCUCCAAGCACUAGCAAAACCCUGCCCUAGGAGCCCCCAGACUCUGAGAGCCCAUGACCAAAAAGAAAAGGAAAGCCAAGUUGGGGAAGAACAGGGGCCCCCAACUCCACAGCCCUCCACUCUGCCCAGAGGGCCCACCCUGGGCUGCCUGGAACCCCCUAAAGUUGCCACCCCCGCAACACAGUAGUGGGGCAGUUCCUGGCAGCGCCUGCAGCCCAUGGGCUGGCUCUGUACCCGCAGCCCCGCCAAGCGUCUGUUAUCUUAUUUACUGGAAUCUGCACAGCCAGGCUCUAGCUCACCGGUGACUAAGGAGCUGCAGCCAUUAUUACCAGGCAGAUGGCAGACUCCCUAAAAGCAGACAUUAAACAAUAAAAUGCCACCACAUACCUUGCCCACAAAAUAAAAUCAAAACAAACACCUAA
RNAcentral lists this long non-coding RNA (2522 nucleotides) under Homo sapiens (human). RNAcentral describes it as "non-protein coding lnc-GALNTL5-2:11". Lineage: Eukaryota; Metazoa; Chordata; Mammalia; Primates; Hominidae. The record is from RNAcentral.